Molecule: ribosomal RNA, 264 nt
Filed under: uncultured bacterium
Lineage: Bacteria
Description: partial 16S ribosomal RNA
Rfam family: Bacterial small subunit ribosomal RNA
Source: RNAcentral
UGGGGAAUAUUGCACAAUGGGCGAAAGCCUGAUGCAGCAACGCCGCGUGAGUGAUGAAGGUCUUCGGAUUGUAAAGCUCUGUCUUUUGGGACGAUAAUGACGGUACCAAAGGAGGAAGCCACGGCUAACUACGUGCCAGCAGCCGCGGUAAUACGUAGGUGGCGAGCGUUGUCCGGAUUUACUGGGCGCAAAGGGUGCGUAGGCGGAUGUUUAAGUGAGAUGUGAAAUACCCGGGCUUAACUUGGGUGCUGCAUUUCAAACUGG